RNAcentral lists this transfer RNA (65 nucleotides) under Apatides fortis. RNAcentral describes it as "tRNA-Asp". Lineage: Eukaryota; Metazoa; Arthropoda; Insecta; Coleoptera; Bostrichidae. The record is from RNAcentral.
GGGGUUUUAGUUAAUCGAUAACGUUAGAUUGUCAUUUUAAAAUAAUUACUUAGUAAUAAACCCCG